This 259-nucleotide ribosomal RNA is filed under the name uncultured Staphylococcus sp. RNAcentral's name for it is "partial 16S ribosomal RNA". It matches the Rfam family "Bacterial small subunit ribosomal RNA", at positions 100 to 354 of the family's 1533-position model. Lineage: Bacteria; Bacillati; Bacillota; Bacilli; Caryophanales; Staphylococcaceae. The record is from RNAcentral.
CGGGGUGAGUAACACGUGGAUAACCUACCUAUAAGACUGGGAUAACUUCGGGAAACCGGAGCUAAUACCGGAUAAUAUAUUGAACCGCAUGGUUCAAUAGUGAAAGACGGUUUUGCUGUCACUUAUAGAUGGAUCCGCGCCGCAUUAGCUAGUUGGUAAGGUAACGGCUUACCAAGGCAGCGAUGCGUAGCCACCUGAGAGGGUGAUCGGCCACACUGGAACUGAGACACGGUCCAGACUCCUACGGGAGGCAGCAGGC